Molecule: long non-coding RNA, 2760 nt
Filed under: Mus musculus (house mouse)
Lineage: Eukaryota; Metazoa; Chordata; Mammalia; Rodentia; Muridae
Description: long non-coding RNA chr17:42508403-42511163
Source: RNAcentral
UUUUUUUUUUUUUUUUUUUUUUUUACAGCUUUGCCUUUAAUAUGACUGCAGUGGUAGCGACCAAAUCAAAAGCAGCAAGGCCUCUUUACUGGACAUUCAGCACAUAGGUGCUACAUAUGAAUGUAGCCACAAUUCAAUUCCUGUAUCAGAUGACCAAUGUUCAUCAGUGUUGUAGCUAGGAGGGCAGGGGUUACUGCUCUGAGUUCCAAAUGUUUUGAAGUUUUGUUAGAUGACAUUUGGAUGAGAUUGGAAGAUACCAAAAGACAGAUAAGGCUCCAGCUAAGAAAUCAAGAUAUCAGCGUGUGGGUGUGUCAGGAAGAGUGACAUCAAUAAAGUCCUUACACACUAGACUUUAUAGGUUAGAAAAUAGCACAGAGAAUCAAUUGGUGCCUCAAAACUAGAGGUUCUACCUGCUUGCAAACCUAGAUACAUGUAACUAUAUCUAUCCCACUUGGAGAUCAUGUUCUUGUUUGUAAGACUCAGACACUGGGUCUGCUUCUGGUUUUCUAAGCAGGACCAGAUCUGUUUUGUGAGUUAAAAAUAAGCUGAAGGACUCUUGAAAAGAAUACUCCAGCUAAACACCCAGAAAAGUAUUCAUUUUCAGGAUGCUAUAAUACAGAUAAUACUUUUGAACAUUUUUAUUUACCUAAUGAGGGUCUAUAAUCUGCUGCUGAUAGAGAAGUCAUUUACUCUUCUUGUAAAGAGGAAAAUGAUUCAAAGAGAGAAAUACAUGCAAGCAGUGUUUGCACCGUCUGUAGCUAUUGAAUGGACCAUAUCUUAGCUCUUCUACAUCCUUAAAGGGGUUGUUGAGAUAAAAUGAGCUAAGGCUGCACUGGGAACCUCUGUCACCAAGGCAUUUUUAAUACAAUAAAGAAUUUAUAAAUGAGAUCAUUGACAAUUUUGCACUUUUAUAAACUAUAGGACUCCAGUCUCUGUUUUCUCACUGAGAUGAAUUUUCCCAAAGAAAGCUCUCAUAGGUCACACCAAUUAUAAAAUCCUAAAAAUUAAAGAAAACCUUGAUGACAUGGGAGUAAGAGCAAUUCACAGCCUCUUGGUGAUUCUUGCUCCGUUUCUUGGGCUCCUGUUCCAGCCAAGGCGGGGUUAGCAUUAGUCAUUCAUAAUUGUGUUCCAGUUUGCUGCGUGGCUCAUGGCAUGCCUGAUAUAGUUUCCUUCCCGUUUGUUUUUGCAGUUACAAAAGCCACUACAUAUUCUCCAGGGCUCUUUCAAACCAGUGGAGAUGUAAGAGUUUUAAUGUUUGGGGAAGAUUUCAUUGAAGAGUUUCCUGGAAAGUAUUAGGAGUGACCACCAUGAAUAAAAGAUAAGUGGAGCUUAUUAUAAUUGUGUCACUUUCCAGUCCGGAAUAGAUUUAGCUUGGAUUCUUGGAAGAGAUUGUUCAUGGCACACUGUGAGAAACAUUCCAUUAUCUAAAUGUGAGAAGGGAGCAGAAUCUCCCACUGAAAAUGGAAAUCGCUUUCAUCACCAAAGUCGGUGGAUUGCUGAGUCUUUAUUUGCAGCCAUACUGAGAGACCUUGAAAAAGAAAAAGAACAGCUGCUGUGGUUUUAUAGGUCUUAGUACAAUCUAUAGCAUUCAUGUCUAUAUGGAAUCAGGAUAUUCCCUUGUCUUUCCUCCUCUGACAUAAAAGUCCGAGUGACUGAAACCAUUUAUCCUCCUGCUCACCAGUGUAUCUGCAAUGCUUAUCACGUGUUCCCAUUAAUUAUGCAUAUUCUUUCAGCAAUAGACUUCCUGAUUCUUAAGUAGAAAAUCUGUCACUGUUUGAAAAGGACAGAGAUAUUGCUAAGCUACCUCACAGGGAUAUUUAAAGAUGAAAUGCCAUACAACCUUUGUCUAAAUGGUAAUACACUAUUAUUUAUUUUCCUUUCACUGGUAAAAUCGUACCCAGAUAGUGGUAAAAUGAACACCAUCGUGUGUAGUUUUAUUUCUGUGUGCCACUUACUAUAAAUAUUCACCAAUGCAGCAUCCCUUGGGAAAGAUGUUCAGUUAUCUCUUCAUGGAAAUCCCAGAGCAUGAAAAUUAGUGCAGCAAGAGUAUUAGUUCAGAAACAGUACUGCCUAGGGUUAACUUAGAGACAGUGGCUCAUCAGCAAGAUGUGUCAUCAAGUAAUCUGGGACUAACUUCAAUGAAAAGCCCAUUUGCCCUUCUUUGCAGAGGAUGGAAAGGCAUCAAUUACUUUACUUAUGUUAAGCAGUUAUGAAACAAUAAAGAUACUAGAAUGACUUCCUAGGUCCCCCCUGACCCACCCACCCAGUGUAAAACCACUGCUUUCUCCUCCACUAAGAUUCUGAACCACAGGCUGCUUCAAAUCAGUGAGGAGAAGACUGCUAGAAAGGAUAGCUGUCUCUUCGCAAGUCAAUAAACCAUGGGCGUGACCACGGAAACCGAGUGCUCCAUUUCCUUUCCUUUCCCAGAAGAAAUGCCCACAAGUUCCUAAUCCUGGUGCAGUGAGAUGCUAAUCUCUAUAGCCAAAUGAAAAGGAAAGAUAACAUGUAUAAAAUUAUAAAGUCCUGGCAUCCUAACAGUACAAACCCCAAUGGCAAAACACCAUUGCCAGUUGCCUUUGCCAUAAGGAUGGCUUUUUAAUAUAACAUUCCUUUUACAUUUUGGUUCUUUGCAUUCUUUUUUGUAAAAAUAGCCUUAUUCAUCACAUCCAAUUUUCCAGUAAAGGAUUGAAGACCUCUGUUCCAGAAUUCUGCACAUAGGACUUUAACUCUAAAGCUACCUUAUCGACAGAAGCUUAAAGG